GACGAACGCUGGCGGCGUGCUUAACACAUGCAAGUCGAACGGAAAGUCCCGGCCUUUGUGCGGUGCUCGAGUUGCGAACGGGGGACUAACACGUGAGUAACCUGUCACUGACUUUGGGAUAACUUCAUGAAACUGAGUCUCAUACCGGAUAGGAGCUCCUGCUUCUUGGUGGGGGUUGGUAAGUUUCGGUGGUUGGUGAUGGACUCGCGGCUUAUCGGCUUGGUGGGGGGGUAGUGUCUUACCAAGGCUUGGACGGGUAGCAGGCCUGAGAGGCGCACCGGCCACAUUGGGCCUGGGCUACGGCCCAGACUCGUACGGGAGGCAGCAGUGGAGAAUAUUACACAGUGGGCGGGAGCCAGAUGUAGCAACGCAGCGUGGGGUAUGACAGCCUUCCGGUUGUGUUCCGCUGUCGCCUGUGACGAAGCGUUAGUGACGGUAAUGGGUGAAGAAGCACCGGCUAACUACGUG
This 468-nucleotide ribosomal RNA is filed under the name uncultured bacterium. RNAcentral describes it as "partial 16S ribosomal RNA". It matches the Rfam family "Bacterial small subunit ribosomal RNA", at positions 28 to 507 of the family's 1533-position model. The record is from RNAcentral.